AUUGAACGCUGGCGGCAGGCUUAACACAUGCAAGUCGAACGAGAGGCGGACGGGUGAGUAAUGUCUGGGAAACUGCCUGAUGGAGGGGGAUAACUACUGGAAACGGUAGCUAAUACCGCAUACCAUCAGAUGUGCCCAGAUGGGAUUAGCUAGUAGUUGGGGUAAUGGCUCACCUAGGCGACGAUCCCUAGCUGGUCUGAGAGGAUGACCAGCCACACUGGAAAUGAGAAACGGACCAGACUCCGACGGGAGGCAGCGGUGGGGAAUAUUGCACAAUGGACGAAAGCCUGAUGCAGCCAUGCCGCGUGUGUGAAGAAGGCCUGCGGGUUGUAAAGAACUUUCAGCGAGGAGGCGUUACUCGCAGAAGAAGCACCGGCGAACUACGUGCCAGCAGCCGAGGUAAUAC
Molecule: ribosomal RNA, 406 nt
Filed under: uncultured bacterium
Lineage: Bacteria
Description: partial 16S ribosomal RNA
Rfam family: Bacterial small subunit ribosomal RNA
Source: RNAcentral